Lycium barbarum (goji berry) is the source of this 5453-nucleotide long non-coding RNA. RefSeq lists it as uncharacterized. Lineage: Eukaryota; Viridiplantae; Streptophyta; Magnoliopsida; Solanales; Solanaceae. The transcript is spliced from 2 exons. The record is from RefSeq and is a predicted model, not a curated record.
UGGAUCAACCUUUCAUACAUAAAAAAAUGUAAAAAACUUUUUUUUCCCAUAAAAAUUUUGAGGGUAACGGAUUUGUGACAAAUUUUAAAUAUGAUUUUUGUGACGGACAUAUUUUCGUCACAAAUUAAGGCUGCUAAGAAAAAAUGACAAUUAUUUGUCACAAAUCCGUGACAAAAAUUGUGACGGAUUGAAUAUUCCGUUACAAAUAUAAUAACAAGACAAUUAAUAAUAAAUAUAUAAAUUUGUGAUAGAUUUGUUUCCCUCACAACAACAAAAUUAGGCAACUUUUUAAUUUUGGCCCCAAAAAUUUUCACUACUUUUUAGUUUCCCACCAAAAUUUGACCCCAUUACAUUUCAGCAAAAUAGUUUUGCUUCCCCCAAAAUUAGACCCCAUUACAUUUCAGCAAAGUAGCUUUACUUUCCCCAAAAUUAGACUCUUCUAAGCUUCGACUCAGUUAAUUUCUCGGUGAUUUCAGCAAAGUAGCCAGCCGUUCACUUCGACUCCGUUGUCAUCUUCACUAAGAGAAAACUUCAACAACCUCCAUUUUCAAUCAAGGAUCAAGAGGAGAAGGCAAAGAGGAGUUCUUUCUUAAAGGUUUGCAUUUUAUAGAGCUUCUUACUUCUUUUUGCUGAUUUGUUGGACUUGAUGAAGAGACUUUGGCGCCAUCACUCAUGUAAGUAUUUGGCGGCACUUUCCGGGUAACUAAUAUUCAUCGUAGAAUCAAGUGAGUUUAGGAUAACUAGAAUUCUUGAAACUUAACUAAAGAGUUUUUUUAGUUGAUUUUGCUUUUCAUUUUCUUAUAUUCAAAGUAAAAUUGUUUCAUUAUUGAUACAGGUGGAUCUGUUGGAGUACAUUAGUUUAUUUGAAUUUGCUAAGUUUAGAGCAUGAAGAGAACAAUGCAAACUAAGAAAGUUAAUUAGUCUAGCUUACCUACCUUAGCAGAUGUUUUUGGUAAUAGGAUGCUGGUCCUAAUUCACGGUUAAGAGAAUUCAUUAAUUCAAUUCAAGUACAAUCUAUUGUUGGACUACAUUUCAUUUUAGAUGGUAAGUUGCUUCUAUUUUAAAAUCUUCUAGAGAUGGACUUUGUUUGACUUGAAAAUAAGUAGGUUUGGUAUGUGUGCUGCUAGUAUGGGGGUUAUUUCAACAUUUCAUUGAGUCGGAGGGCAUUUCAACCAUUUAUCUUCAGAAAUGGAGGAAUGGUAGUUAUGCCACACAAUUGUUCGAUGAAAUGACUCAAAGAAAUUUGGAUGUGUUAAAGUCUGAGUAGCCUUAAUUCAUGAAAAUCCCCAGUAUGUGAAGGGGGGGGGGGGGGGGGGUGAGUCCAAAUGAUUUUCUAUUCAUGUCAAGGGGUGUUCAUUUUUAGUGUUAUUAGUUAGAAAUACAUCUGAAUGAUGUUUUGAGAAUAAGAAAUACAUCAAUCCCAUUUUUAAACUAAAAAAAAUGAAAAGAAACUGUUUUACAUGGAGAUUAAUAUACAAGUUCAGAAUGAAAAUUGAUCACUUUUCCAUAUCCUUUUAAGGCUUUCUGUUAAGUGUUUCAGUUAAUAGUAAUGAGAGCUAUGUAGUUCUAAUUGUUUCUGGUGAAAGAAAAAAAGGUACUUUAUAUGUAGUAAAGAUUAUUUCUUGAGAAUGCUAGUUACAAGUUUUUAAGUUAAAAGAUUGUUAUGACUUUAUUGACAAGGCUGAGUGGUUGGGUCCCAACUCUAUAUCUUCAGUUUAUGACCAAUACACCUUUGUGGCUUAAAAAAUCAUACAAUCCAUGUCUGACUACUAAAAUUUUAGAAAUUGAGUGCUUUUGUUCUGUUCCUGUUCUUUAAUUUUUUUACCAAGAGAUGUUUCCUUUUUUGCUCUGUUCUGAUUCAUCUAUUUUUUAACUAGAUUUCUUGAUGGUUUUUUUAAGAAAGGUUAAAGGAGAAUUGAAUUUUGUCCUUCCUCUAUCAGAUGGGAGAUGCAUCGUUGACUUGAUAGACAUUAAGCACUUAACUGGUCAUAUUCAUAUUUCUCCUUAAUGUUCCGCAGCUUGAAAAUCAUGGUUUUGGUCUGGAACAUACAUCAUUGACUUUAUUGACAUUUAAUAGUUUACUGAUCAUAUCCGUAUUUCUCACUGUCAAUGACUACAAAGAUAACAAAGCGUUACAUGUACUUUUUGCUAUGUAGAGUGCAUUUCUUCUGAUUAUGAGAGGGCGAUUAUAUCUUUUGACUAAGUCCAAAUGGUUUCAUCAAAUUAAUCGAUUGAUCCAUUUUUGUAUUUCUGGGUGUCGCGUCUUGUAUCUUUGCUAGUAGGGUUGUAGUAAAGUUGUUUGAUUUGUUAUGUUAGUGAAGCGUAAUAUAACUAAUGGAAAAUUGCCUUUGAAGGCAAUAAAGUUAAUCACCUUCCUACAUUUUUAUUAACUAGUGAAGUUACCCGCGCUUCGCGCAGGCAUAAAAAACUUCAAUCAUUUAAUUUUUUAAAUGAUAUUUUUUAUUUUUUUAAGAAAGAAAAAAAUUAAAAAGAAUCAUGUAACCUUGAUCGAUGUUUUACUAAUUUAAAUUAUUCUAUCUUUUUUUUUUCUUUCACUUAUUAUAAAUUAGACUUCAAUAUACAUUCCUUUCACGUUUAGGAGAAAUUAAAAAAAAAAAAGUAAAAAUUAACCUACUAUAAUUUGUUACUUGAGCCAAAUUUUACUCAGAUUUCUCUCACAUCUAUCUUAAAGACGAAAUUUAUGGCGAAGAGCACAAUAUAUUCCAUAUUGACAAAAAUGCCUAGUUUUAUAUUUCAAAUAAUAGGAAGCUGAUCUUUUCUCUUUGUCGAUCAAAACUAUUCAAUUAGACAAUCAAUUUAUUUUCAAGGGAUAAAAAAUUCUCUAAUUUAUUUUAAAAAAAAUGAUUGAUACUCAAUAUGAAUGCUAGAUGGCCUUAGGUAUGUAGAGAGGUGAAUUGGAAAAAAAAGUUGAAAUUUAAUAAAUGCAUAUUAAAAUAUUAAAGCACCAUUACAAAUAAAUUACCCUAACAACAAUUGACAUGUAAAUCAUUCUUAAAACCAUAAAAUGCUUACACUUGUGAUAAUUAAAGUUAUUUCAUGAGAUAAAAUUCAGAAUGUUUUGCCUACUACCUUGGUUUUUAGAAGUUGUAGUAAAUAUGAAUAAGCUAAUGUUUCAAAAUCAAGUUUGCACCACAUUCUAAGGCAUUAGUAUGUAAACAUUGUUUCAUUUCUCUCGAUUAUUACAAAUCAGCCAUAGCAAAAAAGACGAAAAAGUGUGAAAUUGAGAAUACAAGAGAUGGAGAUUAAAGACGUUAAGGUUCUUAUCCUCGAUCUUCUGUUCCCUUCAUAGCUAUUGUUAUCUUCCUGCAACUCCUUUCUUCAUAUCACUGACUAUUUGGUUGCUCCAUCAUACUCAUUUCUUCACCGUAUCAUAAUAUAUAUAGUUUUCAAGAUUACUAUUAUUUUCUCUCGAAUAAAAACUACAAACAAAAUAUUAAAAAUAUGUGUACAAAUCAAUCAUAGCAAAAAAGACGAAAAAGUGAGAAAUUGAGAAUACAAGAUAAUGGAGAUUAAGAACGUGAAGGUUCUUAUCAUGAAUCCUUGGCUGCUUCUGGUCCCUUCAUAGCUAUUGCUAUCUUCCUGCAACUCCUUUCUUCAUAUCAUUGACUAUUGGUUGCUCCAUCAUACUCAUUUCUUCACCAUAUCAUAAUAUAUAUAAUUUGCAAGAUUACUAUUAUUUUCUCUCGAAUAAAAACUACAAACAAAAUAUUAAAAAUAUGUGUUACAAAUCAACCAUAAAAAAAAGACGGAAAAGUGAGAAAUUGAGAAUACAAGAGAAUACAGAUUAAGGACGUUAAGGUUCUUAUCCUGGAUCCUUGGCUGCUUCUAGUCCCUUCAUAGCUAUUGUUAUCUUCCUACAACUCCUUUCUUUAUAUUACUGACUAUUGUCAACUCCAUCAUACUCAUUUCUUCACCGUAUCAUAAUAUAUAUAGUUUGCAAGAUCACUAUUAAUUUUCUUCAUUUAGUAAAAAAAAAAAAAAAAAAAAAAGAAGAAGAAGAAGAAAAGAGAGGCUUUGUAAAUGAAAGGUUUUAGAAACUAAAAUAUAUUAUUGCAUUUACAAAAUUUGCUGUUAUUUUGGCUUUUGUAAGGGAAGUUGAAAGAAUGAAGGGAAAAUGGAUCACGUCAGCUAAGUUAUACCACCUUAUAUAUGGAAGUUUCAUUUCUAAAGUUUAAUUGCAUAUUAACUAUACCGGUAAUUAUUAGCAUUAACAAAACAUUAGUGGGGAAUACCAACGUCAGUGUUUUAGUUAAAAUAUGCUUGUUGGUCUUCUUUUGGGAAGGCUAACAGACUGCAGUAGUAAUAAAAGGCCUAAUAAAAAUUGAAUCUCUUAUUAAGCUUGUUAUUAUAUGGAAUGGGAAAGGUUGGGGAGUAAUAGUUCAGAUUUUUUGUUACAAUAAAAUGAAUUAAAAUAGGUGAGAAAGGCAAAAAAAAGAGAAAAAAGAUAAAUGUCAAUGGAGGCCAUAGAGAGAUGCCACAUAGGAUUGUCUAUGCCUAGCUUUAUAUUAUAUAUAGAUUUGAGAAGUGAAAAAGUUUACUUUGAAAUUUAUUGACAUGUCAUAUAGUUAUUGCAUGUUUCGUGACAAUGUAUCGUGUGGUUGGAUAUUCUCAUAGGGAAUAAAAUUGCAUGACUUUGGUAAGCAUCUUGGUGAGCUAUUUUAGCCGAAAGUCUAAUCGUUUCUAUUGACAGGGUAUAACAAGGUUUCUCUUAGCGCUAAUUCCACAUUAAUACAAAAGUACUUGACGCCCUCCCUCUCUUUUCUCUGAGGUGGUGCUGAUCUUAUAAUCAUAAGCAAGUGUUUGAGAUACAAUUGUCCUCUACUUUCUGGUGAUUGAUUAAAUUUCUCAAGAUUAGGAAUUUGUUCAACUUUUCAAUUGUGGUUCACUAGUUUAAGAUAGUUAUGUCAUAUUUUUGUCAUAUACAAAAGAUUGACCAUGUUGUCCUGGUGCAUUGUGCACAUUUCAAUUUAUUUUGGGCAUAAUUGUAUGAUGAUAGCAUUGACUUGAUGUCGACCAUUUGCUAUUAUCUGAUCUCUUACCUUUGAUACAGCAGAAUAAUUAUUUUGAUAAGUGAUCUGAGGCUAAAACAGAGCAGGUGAUGUAAGAGACUAGAGCAUCGUUUUCUAACAAUGCAUAGAGGAGGAUAUUUCAAGUUUGAGCAAACAGAGAGAAGGUCGGUUACAUUAUGUGGAGGAGCGAUUUAUGCGUGCAUGAUGAGUAAGAUGGUAUUAUCAUUCCUUCUUCGAUUCUCGUCCCUUCGAUACAGACUCUUCGGAUGCUUUAGUGGUUACUAAUGUUAGACUUUUGUUAACUUUAUACUCGGUCUUUAGAAUUUCUAGAUUUUUAUAGAAGAAUUUACGGAUUUGCAAUUUUUAAAUUGAUUUGUAAUAUAUUUCAUAGUAUGAAAGUUACAUUUUUGUUAUUGUUAAUUA